AAAAUAAAAAAAAAAUAAUUUUCAGAAUUUUUUUUUUUUAAAAAAAGAAAUAAACCUAUCGCGACGAAAUUUCGUCGGCAUAGGUCUAUGCCGACAAAAUUUGCCGGAUUAGGUUUGCGCCGACGAAAUUUGAGUUUUUCGUCGGCAU
Prunus dulcis (almond) is the source of this 148-nucleotide small nucleolar RNA. RefSeq annotates it as small nucleolar RNA snoR111. Lineage: Eukaryota; Viridiplantae; Streptophyta; Magnoliopsida; Rosales; Rosaceae. The transcript has a single exon. The record is from RefSeq and is a predicted model, not a curated record.